GGGGACGUAGCUCAGUUGGGAGAGCGCAGCACUCGCAUUGCUGAGGUCAGGGGUUCGAAUCCCCUCGUCUCCACCA
This 76-nucleotide transfer RNA is filed under the name Pseudomonadota bacterium. Its description in RNAcentral is "tRNA-Ala". It matches the Rfam family "tRNA". From Rfam's summary of the family: Transfer RNA (tRNA) molecules are approximately 80 nucleotides in length. Their secondary structure includes four short double-helical elements and three loops (D, anti-codon, and T loops). The record is from RNAcentral. Lineage: Bacteria; Pseudomonadati; Pseudomonadota. RNAcentral also lists the same sequence under 2 other names.